CAGAGAGAGAGAGAGGAAGGAGCAGGGGGCAAUCAACGUUUUAGCGAGAAGGAGCGGCCAGAAUUGCUUAAAAAUCUACAAAAGAGGGUAAACCCAACCAAAACCCUUAUCCUAUCUUUUGUUUUCCCUUUUGAAAAACUUUUCUCUAGAUUUCCUCCUCUUUCUCUUCUCUCUCUCACUCUGGCUAGUAAGUCCUUUUGCUUCACUCUCUCUUUUCUCCUUCUCUCAUUCUCUGUUCCUAGCUUUCUUUCUGUCCUUUCCAUAAUCUCCUUACAUAUCAAUACCUUUAAUUUCAAUAUUCUUGCUAAAACCAUCAAUGCCUUCUAAAAAUGGGUAUCUGAAAUUGAUCUGUUUCUGAUCUUUUAGUAAAAAGAAAAAGAAGAAAGAGAUAAAGAAAUGGCCCCAAGGUCUGGGAGAGGCAAGUCAAAUAAAGCUAAGGGAGAGAAGAAAAAGAAAGAGGAUAAAGUGGUAGUGCCAAGCCUUCUUGACAUUACUGUAAUCACUCCAUAUGAUACUCAAGUUGUCCUCAGGGGAAUCUCCACUGACAGGAUACUUGAUGCGAAGAAGCUAUUGGCUGUGAAUGUAGAAACAUGUCACCUGACAAACUAUUCUUUAUCUCACGAGGUUAAAGGACAGAGAUUGAAUGACAGAGUAGAGAUUAUUACUCUGAAACCUUGUUUGCUCAGGAUGGUUGAAGAGGACUACACCGAGGAAGCCCAGGCGGUAGCUCAUGUCCGGAGGCUUCUGGACAUCGUGGCCUGCACCACCAGGUUCGCCAAGCCCAAGCGACCAUUACCAUCAACGCUGCCAUCUGAAUCAAAAUCCAAAAAAGCGAGCUUCGGUUCUAUUGGAAAUGGGCCCCACACAUCACCAUCGCCGUCGGGGACGGCGUCCGUUUCUGCGGCGGCAUUGGACAGUAUGGACAUGGCGGCCAUUCACCCGACGCCAAAGCUCUCGGAUUUCUACGAAUUCUUCUCUUUCUCUCACCUCAAUCCUCCAAUCCUUAGUUUGAGGAGGUGUAACAGUAAGGAUGGAGACGAGAGGGGCCAAGGUGACUACUUUGAAACUCAGAUUAAAAUCUGCAAUGGGAAGCUAAUACAUGUGGUUGCAUCAGAAAAGGGGUUUUAUACUGUGGGAAAGCAAUUUUCUCAGAGUCACUCCUUGGUGGAUCUUUUGCAAAAUCUGAGCCGAGCUUUUGCCAAUGCAUAUGAUUCCCUUAUGAAGGCUUUUGUAGAACAUAAUAAGUUUGGUAAUCUUCCCUGUGGAUUUCGGGCAAAUACAUGGCUUGUUCCUCCGCCUGUAGGUGAGUCUCCAUCAAACUUCCCAUCUCUACCUGCAGAAGAUGAGAGUUGGGGUGGCAAUGGUGGUGGACAAGGAAGAAAUGGUGAAUAUGAUCUUCGACCAUGGGCCUCAGACUUUGAAAUAUUGGCUAGGCUACCAUGCAAGACUGAGGAGGAGAGAGUGACACGAGACCGAAAGGCCUUUUUGCUUCACAGCCAAUUUGUUGAUGUUGCAAUUUUUAAAGCUGCUAGAGCAAUACGCCGCCUCAUUGAUUCCAACAAAAAUGCAAAAGAAACAAUAAAUUUUAAUUCAGGCUCAAUUCUGUCUGAAGAUCGUGUGGGAGACUUGUCCAUUGUUGUAAAACGUGAUGUGGCUGAUGGAAGCAUGAAGUCUAGGGAAAAAGUUGAUGGCCAUAGAUUAUCUGGUGCCUCUGCUAAGGAAGUUGCUCAAAGGAAUUUGCUUAAAGGGGUAACUGCAGAUGAGAGUGUAGUUGUUCAUGUAAGUGCAUUCUUCCUUCUCCCCAUUUGUCUUGUAAGCGCCCAUCUGCUUGCACAAAUGCAAGUACAAACAUGAAACAUAUCCAUGGGAAGACAAUAAAUAGUUUAAAAGUGGAUGUGCAUAUACAGGAAAAGCCACACCUCUGCCAAAACAAUUCUUGUAGUGCAUUGUGUUCUUUUGAAUAGGUUCCCAACCAUUUUUGAUGUUCUCUCUCUCCAGCUACUGAUCUAUAUUACAUGAGCCAUCUGCAAUCUAUCUCCUUCUUCCUUUCCUCCCCACCUUUCUUGCUUGCUCAUUCAGUCAUUCUUGACUUCACUAUAUAAAUACACAAAUACCUACAUGCAUAGAUAAAUAUAUACAUGUUUGUGUAAUUGGAUUUCUAUUUGUGUCUUUUUCAGGUGCUGAAACUCAUGUAUGUACAUAAUUGCGUAGAUAAAUAACACAUUCUUAUUGUCUUAAGAAAUAAAAAUGGCACAUUCUUAUUGUCUUAGGAAAUAAAACUAACUAAAUCAAGUCUAUUUCCUUCUUAAGGGGAAAAACAAGAAUAAAGUUAGUAGAGAAAUGCCUUAACUCUUCAGUACUAGCAUUGCCAAUCCCAUCUCGCCGGUCAACUUUUUAAGAACCUGUUUUCUAUGAAAUCACAUUACAUAAUCAUUUUUACUGCCAAAACCUACAUCCUCUCCACUGAAACUCAACAACCCUCUCUGGUGCAGCCCAUUAUUGUUUCUUGCACAUGGCCAAAUCAUCUCAACUGGGUGAAAUUUGAAGAUCUUUCAUAAUGGUAGAAAUGAUAAGUUCAAAUUUAAAGG
This 2588-nucleotide unclassified non-coding RNA is filed under the name Hevea brasiliensis (rubber tree). Lineage: Eukaryota; Viridiplantae; Streptophyta; Magnoliopsida; Malpighiales; Euphorbiaceae. The record is from RNAcentral.